AAAGCUCGUAGUCGGAUUUCAGUUUGUGCAACGCUACUCUUAGGAGGUGUGACUGUACUAACUUCUUUAACAAGAGUUUCGUAUGCGUUCAUUCGUAUGCGAGAUAGAUUGUUUCUUUCACCUUGAGAAAAUUAGAGUGUUCAAAGCAGGUAUUCGCCUGAAUAUUACUCUUGGAAUAAUAAUAUAGGACUUUGGUUCUAAAUUGUUGGUGACUUGGGACCGAAGUAAUGAUUGAUAGGGACAGUUGGGGUCAUUCGUACUGCAAAGCGAGAGGUGAAAUUCUUAGACCUUUGCAUGACGAACAACUGCGAAAGCAUUUGACUAGGAUGUUCCCGUUGAUCAAGAACGAAAGUUGGGGGAUCGAAGACGAUCAGAUACCGUCGUAGUCUCAACCAUAAACUAUGCCAGCUAGGGAUUGGAUGACGUUACAUUAUUCGACUCAUUCAGCACCUUAUGAGAAAUCAAAGCAUUUGGGUUCCGGGGGGAGUAUGGUCGCAAGGCUGAAACUUAAAGGAAUUGACGGGAGGGCACCACCAGGAGUGGAGCCUGUGGCUUAAUUUGACUCAACACGGGAAAACU
RNAcentral lists this ribosomal RNA (579 nucleotides) under uncultured marine eukaryote. RNAcentral describes it as "bacterial SSU rRNA". It matches the Rfam family "Eukaryotic small subunit ribosomal RNA", at positions 623 to 1215 of the family's 1831-position model. The record is from RNAcentral.